AAUCCAUAGGUUAAUGAGGCGAACCGGGGGAACUGAAACAUCUAAGUACCCCGAGGAAAAGAAAUCAACCGAGAUUCCCCCAGUAGCGGCGAGCGAACGGGGAGGAGCCCAGAGCCUGAAUCAGCAUGUGUGUUAGUGGAAGCGUCUGGAAAGGCGCGCGAUACAGGGUGACAGCCCCGUACACAAAAGCGCAUGUGCUGUGAGCUCGAUGAGUAGGGCGGGACACGUGGUAUCCUGUCUGAAUAUGGGGGGACCAUCCUCCAAGGCUAAAUACUCCUGACUGACCGAUAGUGAACCAGUACCGUGAGGGAAAGGCGAAAAGAACCCCGGCGAGGGGAGUGAAAAAGAACCUGAAACCGUGUACGUACAAGCAGUGGGAGCACAGGUUUACCUGUGUGACUGCGUACCUUUUGUAUAAUGGGUCAGCGACUUAUAUUCUGUAGCAAGGUUAACCGAAUAGGGGAGCCGCAGGGAAACCGAGUCUUAAUUGGGCGUUAAGUUGCAGGGUAUAGACCCGAAACCCGGUGAUCUAGCCAUGGGCAGGUUGAAGGUUGGGUAACACUAACUGGAGGACCGAACCGACUAAUGUUGAAAAAUUAGCGGAUGACCUGUGGCUGGGGGUGAAAGGCCAAUCAAACCGGGAGAUAGCUGGUUCUCCCCGAAAGCUAUUUAGGUAGCGCCUCGUGAAUUCAUCUCCGGGGGUAGAGCACUGUUUCGGCUAGGGGGCCAUCCCGGCUUACCAACCCGAUGCAAACUGCGAAUACCGGAGAAUGUUAUCACGGGAGACACACGGCGGGUGCUAACGUCCGUCGUGAAGAGGGAAACAACCCAGACCGCCAGCUAAGGUCCCAAAGUCAUGGUUAAGUGGGAAACGAUGUGGGAAGGCCCAGACAGCCAGGAUGUUGGCUUAGAAGCAGCCAUCAUUUAAAGAAAGCGUAAUAGCUCACUGGUCGAGUCGGCCUGCGCGGAAGAUGUAACGGGGCUAAACCAUGCACCGAAGCUGCGGCAGCGACGCUGAUGCGUUGUUGGGUAGGGGAGCGUUCUGUAAGCCUGUGAAGGUGUGUCGUGAGGCAUGCUGGAGGUAUCAGAAGUGCGAAUGCUGACAUAAGUAACGAUAAAGCGGGUGAAAAGCCCGCUCGCCGGAAGACCAAGGGUUCCUGUCCAACGUUAAUCGGGGCAGGGUGAGUCGACCCCUAAGGCGAGGCCGAAAGGCGUAGUCGAUGGGAAACGGGUUAAUAUUCCCGUACUUGGUGUUACUGCGAAGGGGGGACGGAGAAGGCUAUGUUGGCCGGGCGACGGUUGUCCCGGUUUAAGCGUGUAGGUGUGUGUUCCAGGUAAAUCCGGUUCACUUUAACACUGAGGCGUGAUGACGAGGCACUACGGUGCUGAAGCAACAAAUGCCCUGCUUCCAGGAAAAGCCUCUAAGCAUCAGGUAACAUCAAAUCGUACCCCAAACCGACACAGGUGGUCAGGUAGAGAAUACCAAGGCGCUUGAGAGAACUCGGGUGAAGGAACUAGGCAAAAUGGUGCCGUAACUUCGGGAGAAGGCACGCUGACACGUAGGUGAAGUGAUUUACUCACGGAGCUGAAGUCAGUCGAAGAUACCAGCUGGCUGCAACUGUUUAUUAAAAACACAGCACUGUGCAAACACGAAAGUGGACGUAUACGGUGUGACGCCUGCCCGGUGCCGGAAGGUUAAUUGAUGGGGUCAGCGCAAGCGAAGCUCCUGAUCGAAGCCCCGGUAAACGGCGGCCGUAACUAUAACGGUCCUAAGGUAGCGAAAUUCCUUGUCGGGUAAGUUCCGACCUGCACGAAUGGCGUAAUGAUGGCCAGGCUGUCUCCACCCGAGACUCAGUGAAAUUGAACUCGCUGUGAAGAUGCAGUGUACCCGCGGCAAGACGGAAAGACCCCGUGAACCUUUACUAUAGCUUGACACUGAACAUUGAGCCUUGAUGUGUAGGAUAGGUGGGAGGCUUUGAAGUGUGGACGCCAGUCUGCAUGGAGCCGACCUUGAAAUACCACCCUUUAAUGUUUGAUGUUCUAACGUGGACCCGUAAUCCGGGUUGCGGACAGUGUCUGGUGGGUAGUUUGACUGGGGCGGUCUCCUCCUAAAGAGUAACGGAGGAGCACGAAGGUUGGCUAAUCCUGGUCGGACAUCAGGAGGUUAGUGCAAUGGCAUAAGCCAGCUUGACUGCGAGCGUGACGGCGCGAGCAGGUGCGAAAGCAGGUCAUAGUGAUCCGGUGGUUCUGAAUGGAAGGGCCAUCGCUCAACGGAUAAAAGGUACUCCGGGGAUAACAGGCUGAUACCGCCCAAGAGUUCAUAUCGACGGCGGUGUUUGGCACCUCGAUGUCGGCUCAUCACAUCCUGGGGCUGAAGUAGGUCCCAAGGGUAUGGCUGUUCGCCAUUUAAAGUGGUACGCGAGCUGGGUUUAGAACGUCGUGAGACAGUUCGGUCCCUAUCUGCCGUGGGCGCUGGAGAACUGAGGGGGGCUGCUCCUAGUACGAGAGGACCGGAGUGGACGCAUCACUGGUGUU
Molecule: ribosomal RNA, 2535 nt
Filed under: Salmonella enterica
Lineage: Bacteria; Pseudomonadati; Pseudomonadota; Gammaproteobacteria; Enterobacterales; Enterobacteriaceae
Description: partial 23S ribosomal RNA
Rfam family: Bacterial large subunit ribosomal RNA
Source: RNAcentral